CGGUUGAUCCUGCCGGACCCUACUGCUAUCGGGGUGGGACUAAGACAUGCGAGUUAAGCGUCUCUAAGCUAUGGUAGAGACGCAGCGUACGGCUCAGUAACACGUGGCUAACCUACCCUUAGGACGGGGACAACCCCGGGAAACUGGGGCUAAUACCCGAUAGGCGAGGAGGCCUGGAAUGGUUCCUAGUCGAAAAGGCGUUGAAACCAUGCUUUUCGACGUCGCCUAAGGAUGGGGCCGCGCCCGAUCAGGUUGUUGGUGGGGUAACGGCUCACCAAGCCUAUAACCGGUACGGGCCGUGAGAGCGGGAGCCCGGAGAUGGGCACUGAGACAAGGGCCCAGGCCCUACGGGGCGCAGCAGUCGCGAAAACUCCGCAAUGCGCGAAAGCGUGACGGGGCUACCCCGAGUGCCGUCCGCUGAGGAUGGCUUUUCCCCGGUGUAAUGAGCCGGGGGAAUAAGGAGAGGGCAAGUCUGGUGUCAGCCGCCGCGGUAAUACCAGCUCUCCGAGUGGUAGGGAUGAUUAUUGGGCUUAAAGCGUCCGUAGCCGGCUUAGCAAGUCUCCUGUUAAAUUCAGCGACCUAAUCGUUGAGCCGCGGGAGAUACUACUAGGCUAGGAGGCGGGAGAGGCCGACGGUAUUCUCGGGGUAGGGGUGAAAUCCUAUAAUCCCGGGAGGACCACCAGUGGCGAAGGCUGUCGGCUAGAACGCGCUCGACGGUGAGGGACGAAAGCUGGGGGAGCGAACCGGAUUAGAUACCCGGGUAGUCCCAGCUGUAAACGAUGCGGGCUAGGUGUUGGGGUGGCUACGAGCCACUUCAGUGCCGCAGGGAAGCCAUUAAGCCCGCCGCCUGGGGAGUACGGCCGCAAGGCUGAAACUUAAAGGAAUUGGCGGGGGAGCAC
Molecule: ribosomal RNA, 899 nt
Filed under: uncultured archaeon
Lineage: Archaea
Description: bacterial SSU rRNA
Rfam family: Archaeal small subunit ribosomal RNA
Source: RNAcentral